UACGGGGGGGGCAAGCGUUGUUCGGAAUUACUGGGCGUAAAGGGCUCGUAGGCGGCCAACUAAGUCCGACGUGAAAUCCCCAGGCUUAACCUGGGAACUGCGUCGGAUACUGGAUGGCUUGAAUCCGGGAGAGGGAUGCAGAAUUCCAGGUGUAGCGGUGAAAUGCGUAGAUAUCUGGAGGAAUACCAGUGGCGAAGGCGACUUACUGGACACGUAUUGACGCUGAGGUGCGAAAGCGUGGGGAGCAAACAGG
RNAcentral lists this ribosomal RNA (253 nucleotides) under uncultured bacterium. RNAcentral's name for it is "partial 16S ribosomal RNA". It matches the Rfam family "Bacterial small subunit ribosomal RNA", at positions 524 to 776 of the family's 1533-position model. The record is from RNAcentral.